CAAUAGCGUAUAUUUAAGUUGUUGCAGUUAAAAAACUCGUAGUUGGAUUUCGGUUGAGAACGGCCGGUCCGCCGUUUGGUGUGCACUGGCUGGUUUCAACUUCCUGUAGAGGACGUGCUCUGGCUUCACGGCUGGACGCGGAGUCUACGUGGUUACUUUGAAAAAAUUAGAGUGUUCAAAGCGGGCUUACGCUUGAAUAUUUCAGCAUGGAAUAACACUAUAGGACUCCUGUCCUAUUUCGUUGGUCUCGGGACGGGAGUAAUGAUUAAGAGGAACAGUUGGGGGCAUUCGUAUUUCAUUGUCAGAGGUGAAAUUCUUGGAUUUAUGAAAGACGAACUUCUGCGAAAGCAUUUGCCAAGGAUGUUUUCAUUAA
RNAcentral lists this ribosomal RNA (373 nucleotides) under uncultured eukaryote. Its description in RNAcentral is "partial 18S ribosomal RNA". It matches the Rfam family "Eukaryotic small subunit ribosomal RNA", at positions 592 to 976 of the family's 1831-position model. The record is from RNAcentral.